Molecule: ribosomal RNA, 90 nt
Filed under: Acinetobacter marinus
Lineage: Bacteria; Pseudomonadati; Pseudomonadota; Gammaproteobacteria; Moraxellales; Moraxellaceae
Source: RNAcentral
CACCUGAUCCCUUCCCGAACUCAGAAGUGAAACCACUUAGCGCUGAUGGUAGUGUGGGGUUACCCAUGUGAGAGUAAGUCAUCGCCAGCU